Molecule: long non-coding RNA, 734 nt
Filed under: Homo sapiens (human)
Lineage: Eukaryota; Metazoa; Chordata; Mammalia; Primates; Hominidae
Description: HSALNT0306106
Source: RNAcentral
AGUUCUCAACUUGUCAAAUGAUCUCGGAGACUAUAGCAAGGUUGAACUGAAGAUCUGCUUAACUGAUUCCCUGGCUUAGUUCCAGCAUGUGCAAUGAUGCAGUUCUGAAGUGCCAAGUGCUUAAUCAUUAAGCUUGCUCUGGGACAAAAACAUUUUACAAGUUCCACUACACAAAAGGCCCUUGCAAGACACCAGUACCUUGAUAUUUGACUUCCAGUCUCCAGAACUUGGAACCUGAACAGUCUGCUGAAGCACCUGAUGUUUGGCCUUCCUGAAUGUCAUGUAAUACGUACUUCACCAUCAAUUCAUACAGCAGAUAUCAUCAUACACAGUCCAGGUAUGAAGAUCUGGGCUCAGAGAGACUAAGUAAGUGAAUUGCCUGAAGACACAUUGUUGAGCUCUGUGUCUUCUUGACUAACACAUGAGGCCACCUCCUGGGGCUGUUUGAACUGUUUCUGCUGAUAGGGGAGGGCAUUUCUCCAGCCCUGCUUCUAGACUCCCUCUUAAUCUUCAGAUGGCCUCUCACCCAGUUGCAUGUUGAGUUAUCCUUUCAAAAGUGUACAUGCUUUCUCUGUGGAAGCUGUGGCAAAUUUCCAGACUUGGCAUCAGGUGGCUUUUGAUGAUUCUCAAAGAUAAUAUUCAUCUAACAUGAAUACAUUUUACUGCUCCUGGGGACACCUAUAAGAAUGCCCCACUGUGGCCGGGCACAGUGUCACGCCUAUAAUUCCAGCACU